Molecule: long non-coding RNA, 753 nt
Organism: Neltuma alba
Lineage: Eukaryota; Viridiplantae; Streptophyta; Magnoliopsida; Fabales; Fabaceae
Exons: 2
Source: RefSeq, a predicted model, not a curated record
GGCUUAUCUCAGAGUUUGACAGGUAAAUGUAAGGAGUUUUGGACAUAGAAAUCCUCUUGAAGAGUACAAAAUUGAUGGUUGUCGGUUUUUCAUCUCAAUGCUUAGUGCAACUCGAAGGUUAACUGUGGAGUCACUGCUGCAAUAUUGGGCAUCUCCAAUGGAAUCCCAAGAACUAUUUGAUUUCUAGCUGUUCGAUGCUUCUGAACUGGAGGAGCCUAUUAGUGUCUCGGCGACAUUUUUUUCUGCUGGUUCUGUCGUCCUUCACCUUCAGCAUGAACGAACUCCAUAAUAUGGGGGCAGCGCGGGGCUAUGUUCUUACUCCUUUACCUUCCUUGAUGCGCUGACAGAGAGUCAAGACUCAAGAUGAUGAUUUUGACAUGGUUCCUUUUUAACAGCAAGAUUAAGGGGUAGAUGACGAUCUUUGCCUAUUUCAUAGUUUUCCCUGGAUAUAAUGGUUUUUCUUUUUGUUGCUUCCUGUAAGCGAAGUUUGAUCAUUAGCAUUUUUUUUCAGUAGCUGAUAUAUGUACAUGCUAUAUAAUUAUAUAGUAUCAUGAAUGCUUGGCAUGGUCUGUCCGGGCGAAGGGAGGGCCAAAAGUGGGCCAUAAAUGAUCCGGCAUUCUGACAAUUGUCUGAGCUUAUUUUUGUCAUUGGCGUUUGUACGGUUAGCGUGUAAGAUAUGAAGCUUAUUUUAUACUCCUCUAGUUCAGUAAUUAAUGUAGGAUAUAAAUUAAAGAUAUUAGUUAAAUUAAUUAA